Molecule: ribosomal RNA, 1375 nt
Filed under: Engelmanniella mobilis
Lineage: Eukaryota; Ciliophora; Spirotrichea; Stichotrichida; Cladotrichidae
Description: eukaryotic LSU rRNA
Rfam family: Eukaryotic large subunit ribosomal RNA
Source: RNAcentral
UGUAUCUGAAAUCAAGCAGGAUCACCCGCUGAACUUAAGCAUAUCAAUAAGCGGAGGAGAAGAAAUUAACUAAGAUUGCCUCAGUAACGGCGAGUGAAGCGGCAAAAGCUCAAACUGGAAAUCUUGUACACUACGUGUGCACGAAUUGUAAUCUAAAGGGUUUUUACUCACCGGGCGGUGAAGCAGAAGUGCCAUCGAAAGGGCCACCAGAGAGGGUGAUAGUCCCGUAUGUGGUUUCACUGCCUAACGAGUAUGGAUCCAAAGAGUCGGGUUGUCUUGUACUACAGCCCUAAGUUGGAGAUAGACUUCUUCUAAGGCUAAAUAUAUAUGGGAAACCGAUAGCGAACAAGUACUGUGAAGGAAAGAUGAAAAGAACUUUGAAAAGAGAGUCAAAAGACUUGAAAUCGUUGAGAAGGAAGCGGUAGAAAUUUAUUCUUCGGCAGAGGUCGGUGCCACGUGCCUAACCAUUGUGGGAGCACAGUACUGCAUAAGGCUGUGCCUUACACUUGGGGAAGUGCAGGGUUUGACCUUUGUCGUGAGGCAAAAUGAGGUCAGAUUGCCGCAAAGGCUUGUCUCAACGGGCUAGAUUUAUCUGGCAGUGGGGCUGUGCCGGCGGUGACCUGGCCUGAGGGUGCUUUGUGCGAUUUUGCCAAAAUGGUUUUUACCGACCCGUCUUGAGACACGGACCAAGGAGUCUAACAUAUAUGCGAGUGUGCUGGUGCAAAAACCAACACGCGUAAUGAAGGUGAUUGAUGCCAAACCGCAAGGUGGCAGCAUCGACCGACCAUGAUCCUCCGGGUGAAAGGUUUGAGUAAGAGCAUAUCUGUUAGGACCCGAAAGAUGGUGAACUAUGCCUGAGUAGGGUGAAGCCAGGGGAAACUCUGGUGGAGGCUCGUAGCGGUACUGACGUGCAAAUCGUUCGUCAAACUUGGGUAUAGGGGCGAAAGACUAAUCGAACCAUCUAGUAGCUUGGUUCCCUCCGAAGUUUCCCUCAGGAUAGCUGGGACAAGUACGCAGUUUUAUUAGGUAAAGCGAAUGAUUAGAGGCCUGGGGGAUAAAUUAUCCUCCACCUAUUCUCAAACUUUAAAUUGGUAAGAACCCUGGCCUUUCUUAAGUGAGGCAUGGGGGCUCAAUGCGUGUCCUUAGUGGGCCAUUUUUGGUAAGCAGAACUGGCGAUGAGGGUUGCUCCUAACGUCGAGUUAAGGUGCCUAACUACACGCUCAUCAGAAACUACAAAGGGUGUUGGUUCAUUUAGACAGCAGGACGGUGGCCAUGGAAGUCGGAACCCGCUAAGGAGUGUGUAACAACUCACCUGCCGAAUGAACUAGCCCCGAAAAUUGAUGGCGCUCAAGCGUGUGACCGAUACUCGACCAUU